Molecule: transfer RNA, 65 nt
Filed under: Ibidoecus plataleae
Lineage: Eukaryota; Metazoa; Arthropoda; Insecta; Psocodea; Philopteridae
Description: tRNA-Val
Source: RNAcentral
UCAAGUCUAGUUAAUAAAUAACACUUUAUUUACAAUAAAGAAUUCUAUAAAAUGUAGGUCUUGAA